UUGAUAUUUACUACCGAGUUUAAAUGGCAUGCAAAGCAUGCAGUGCAGGCAACGAAGGGAAGGAUAGAUAGAGAGGAAAAAAAAAGAGAAUGUAUAUAUUUACAUAAGUAUAAACAUAGAGAGAUAAAUUAGAAAAAAAUUAGGGUGGAAGAAAUACAUUGAAUUAGAAGUGAUCAAGGAGCUUGCUUAAGUAGUUGGAGCCUAGCUAUUACAGUAGUAACGUGGAUCUUCGUUUUAGCUUUGGAAUCGAGAUAUUGGUGAGGAAUAUUGCUUGCUUGGCUUGGAGACCAAGUAGGGGGAUCUUCACUUACCCUAGUUAUGAAAUUUUGUGAAUGUAUGUAUAUGUAAAUAUACGAAUGCCUGUGAAAGUUGCAUAUAUUUUGCUAUGAUAGAACCAUGAGGAAAAAUGGUUUGUUUUAUAUCAUGAUAUGCAUGUUGUUUUAUGCUACAAAUUAAUUGAUGACUUGAGAGUGAAAGGGGCAUAGCGACUGCCUUGGGUUUCGAUCCCCUAAACCUCCGGAGGGGUUACUACGAAGGGAUUAGUACCACUACCUUUCUAGGAGAGGUACUUGGAUAUCUAAGGGUAGAGUAUUAAGGGACACUCUCGUUACACCUUACCAUAAGAAUAUUCGUUCGGAGUUGGUCCAGGUAAGGGGGUAGUUGGUCAUUGGACCAGUCAUCAGGCAUGUAGCGAUUUAUAGGGAUCCCUGUUUUCUUUUUAAAAGGAAAUUGUGUGAGCAUACAAUCUAUUUUUGAAACUAAAGCUUUUGUUGUGCAUCAAACAUUUUUCUAUAGUAUAUAUAGUGUUGUGUACUAUUUUCAAACCUAGCUGGGGUGGAUUCCCUGAGGGGGAGCGAUGAACGUUUGUGAUGCUCUCCCCUACUUUAUUACAAGACCGGUGCACCUACAAAUAGAUGAUCUGGACUAAAGUCGGGACAAGCGUUGUUUGUUACUUGUCAACUUCUUAAUCACUCAUUGACUUUCAACAGGUUUUUGUUUGUACAUAUGCUUGAUUCCCCUCCGUCUUGAAGGAAUCUUUUGUAACUAAACUUAGCACUUUGUACUCCCCAAAUCGUACCUAAGAGUUUGUUUAGUAUGUUUACUUACUCUAAACUUUUUGGUUUUGUUGUAAGUUGUAAACUUCGUCUUUGAUGUAAAAAUUUAUCCAAAUUCCGUUGCCAUUUCAUUCUUCGUUUUACCAAAAUGAUUUCCGCUUUUGUUCUGUUUAAAAAUAAAUUAUUUUACUUCCCCUUAAAUAGCCUUAUGUCCUAUUGGGAAUGUAGUGCUACAUUGUUGGAAUUUAACACUAUAGUAUUGCGUUGCUAAUAGGGUGUAGCAUUGUUAUGUGCCCGUUUUUGGGGCGUGACAUCAAGCUUCAAUCAUCCUCUAUAUUCACCAAUCUUUCAACUUUUAAAGAGUUUUAGUUUCCUAAAAAUCCUCAAUAUCUCAUCAAUGGGUGAUAGAAGAAUGCAUAGCUAUUGCAACAUCUUCCUCACAGGUCCAAUUACGACCUCUAAUAUGCUCUUUUGCCAUGUUGAACAAUUUGGAAAUGGAAAGAAAUGGUAGAAAGAUAAAUUGGAAGAAUUGUAGGAGAAAAUUGAGUUUUGUGUGGAUGUUUGAACAAAUACAUAGGUAUUUAGAGAGUUUUUGGGUGAAUUUUGAGUUAAAUAAAAUUUUUUAAAUUAUUUUAGCCGUUGGAUUUAAAUUUGGGCUGUUAGAUUUGAUUAUAUUCAAUCUCAGCCGUUGGAUUCAAUGUGUUUUAAAAUAACAUAUUCUAAAAAAAUUAAAUUUGAAUCUGGACCGUUGGAUCAACCAAUGGUCCUUAAAGCCCAGCCUUUGGAUUAGAAUUAUAGCCGUUGGGAUGAUGAUGUUGGCCGACACACAGCUGACAGCGGGGCCCAUCCCUGUCGGGAAAGCCUUGCUAGCCAACCGCGUGGGGCGCAUUGGAGUGUGGGUAGGCUGAGACUGGCCCAAGUGCUAGCGAGUCCACUCGCAUGGGGAAGGGGGGGGGAAGAAUUUGGGGGGAUAUUUGGCCCAGCUUUGGCAUCUGGCUUUUAGCCCAAUGUUUUAGCAUGGGUUGGGUGGUGUUUGGGAGGGUGGGGGAAUAAAUGGGGAAAUAUGACUUUUAGCCCACCAUUGGAGUUGGUCGAAGCAGCAAAUCUCCACGAAACGAUAGAUUGAUCUCAUACUCUAAUUCAUGACUUGUUCGUACCAUGUAAGUAAACAUGCCGAGUAAUAUAUAGUAGUUGAACCUGAUGUGGUUGGACGUAGUAUGAUCCAAGAACAAUGAAGCAAUUUUACAAUUCAAUUCAGCAAUUUUCCUACUCUUCAGAGAAUACCACAUCCUCCGGCCAAAACCCAAAAAAAAAAGAAAUAUAUAUUUUAUAUAAUUAUAUUUCAGGUUAGGAUCGAGGGAUACCCAUUUUUUGACAUGUAAAAAGCCUUGAAGAGAAGACCCGAUAAACGCUGCGACUUAUGAACAAGAAGCACUCUAGAGAAGUGGGCAUGAGGUAACAUAUGCUGUAUUACUACUAAUCUAUAUGAACGCUGCAGCUUUCUUUUACACUUGUUUUCUUCCUUUUGAUUAUCCAAUUUUUCUCAACACUUUGCUCGGGAUUUCACGACGGAACGUUGAAGUGAAAGAGCCAUGAUAUGACAAAAGCAAAUACCAUGCAGGCAAGGAGGAAGUUGAGGAAGCGGUGACCGUGCCAGAAACUUUGAGUCUCUGUGGACGGCCCUGGGGCGGCAACUGAAGCUGUUGCUGAGGCGGCACUGGAUUCGUUCGACUGCUCUGUGAACUCGAUGUCAUUUGGCCCAAUGACGUUGCGUGCAACUGCCUGGCAUAUCUCACAGGUCCUGGAAAGUGGAAAACAAAUUAAACUCUGAAACCUACAAUCAAGAAUCAAAGGGCAAAAUCUAGUUCUACUUUUUAGCGAGACAAAUUGGCCAAAAGAACGACCCAUUUUUUGCUACCAACGUCGGCAGGCCGCGAAGUUAACACCCCCACUCAACAGUCGUGAAAUUUCUGUGAGAGAUAAAAGUUUCAAGACUAAAAGGUAGGAGUGUAACAACUGACAAGACGCACAACAUAUGUGAGAUCAUAUUGCACAGCUUUUACAAAUAAACAAUAAAAUUUCAUAAAAUCUCAUCAGAUUCAAACAUCGAAAUCAUCAGGUUUCAUAUGAAGUAUCUGCACCAUGUAUUUGUUAAGGAUUUGGAUAUCAAUGUCUGGCUCUAAGGAAUCUCUGAGCAUCACCAGGACAUGUGCACAUUGCAAUAACGAGAUUUAACACAAUGGCUGCCAGAUGGGAUUAAAAGUGGCAAUGCCACCACACAUCUUACUGUCAGCAUCUAUUCUGGCAUUGCUACACAUAUAUAAUCGAGAGAUUCUCUCAAGAAACCAAGUUUUAGUCCCAGUGGCUUCACCGUCCAAUACAUGAUUGUGUUGUUUGUUCAAAAAGUGCACGACUCAUCCAAUGAACGAUUGUCAUAUGGGGAAAUAGUGACAUGUGAGAAUCUCUUCGUAUAAACUCUCAUGAUGAACGACACAUGGCAAUCCGUCAAAAGAUCGAUUACUUUGAGUUCGAAACAUUAGACCAAUAAUUCUCCAUCUAUCAUACUCAAAAUAUGCAUACGAAAAGUGAUUUGUCACUAAGCAUGGUGGAUGAAUAGGAAAUGUGGAUAUACACAUAGGAAAUCAUCAAUUAUUUAGUGCUUAGGCAGACAACCCUAAAGAUUAAUAAAUCUAAUGGAAAUAUCAAUAAGAUGUCAUAUUCCUACUUUCAUAAGACCAUCUCCAACACAUGGGAUAAAGCUUCAAAUAUAAGCUUUAAACCCCCCCCAAACCAUCUUCAACCAUGGGCUAAAAAAUAUAUCUCUGGGCUAGAUUUCCCCCAGGAUUUAAACCUAACUUAAAUUAUUCUGAACCCACAAAACUGUCAUAUUUCAAACCAUUUUUUGUUUUUUACUUAUAAUCUAACAGCUAUGAUCAAAUGAGGCCAAAUCUAAUAGUAAAAAAAAAAUUCGACGGUUCAAAAUUAAAUCUAACGUCUAAAAUAAUUUAAAUCAAAUUUAACUUAAAACUUUAUAAAUACCUGUGUAUUUAUAUCAUUUUUAAUUACUAAUUGGAAUUUAAAUAUGUUUGGACUAAAAUGUUCAUAAAAAUAAAUUAAGAUAAUCUACAUAAA
RNAcentral lists this long non-coding RNA (4187 nucleotides) under Malus domestica (apple). RNAcentral's name for it is "long non-coding RNA (MDOM_LNC011531)". The record is from RNAcentral. Lineage: Eukaryota; Viridiplantae; Streptophyta; Magnoliopsida; Rosales; Rosaceae.